GUAUUAAAUCGCAGUUAAACAUUUAGACCAUUAAUCCUACUUUCUUUCGUAAAAUUAUGUGCAUUGUUUCGAUGGGGUAAUGGUGUCAAUGGGAGAACUGAUGCUAACGUUCAACUUUUUAGAUAGGUUUUUUUUCUACAACCAGGGUAACACAGUUCCUAGUGGCUGCUUCGACUGAGUUUUACCGUUCAAGAUCUUGUAUUUAGAUGAUCUAGAAAGAGGGAAAUGGUUCUACUUUUGAAGGUGCUGGCUAGUUUGUGCUUGAAGGGGCAAGUAUAAAAUAGUGGUUGCCUUAAGAAAAAACCUUACCCAGCACUCCUGCUAAAAGCAACUUUUUUUGUCUCUGGAGUUGUGUGACUGGGAACUGAUCUAACUGCAAGCUAACGAUCAAAAAACUUUUUCUGUUUUUCUUCAUAUAAAUAUAAUAGUAACCAUACAGGGUGUCGCACCAAAGAAUCUCUUUUUGUCUAGCUGUAGAAGCUGCCAUGAAGCGGAUGUAUAAGAAAAAGGCAAGUGUACAUGAUGCUGCUAGGGAAUAUUCUCCCAGCUUCUUUUUACUUCAGCUCAAGGGACUUGCUGAGAUAGAUGUGGGUUUUUUUGAUAUAUCGUAACUCUAAGUGAUGUCUGUUCCUUGUACUUUUUUAGAUUUUUUUUGUUGCACUCUUGUAAACUCUCAGCACCCAUUUCAUUCUGAUAGUUUCUUCAGGUCUGCUACCUUGUUUGAAUGAUCUCCUUGUUGUUGAACCUGCCUGCUGUUAACUUAAUUUGCCAGCUAGUGUUUACAUUAGAAGAUACAGUGAACAACUGAUUCCUGUUUAGUUUGUGACACUUACUUGGUAGGCUAGCCUCUAAGUUGUUUCCUUCCCACAGUGAAAAGGUGUAGGAUGCUGGUUUCCAAGUAAAAAGUUACAUACUCUUUCUCCUUGUUGCCAUUUUGUGAACCUUCUCUUAGUUCUAGUAGCUACUUCUCUUUUAGAUGAAAGAACACAGUAUUCCAGAUGUGGGUGAAUUUUAGAUUUAUAUACCGGCAUGAUUUUUCUUUAUUUCCUAAUAAUUCAUCAUGCUCAGUUCAUGAUGUGUCUACACAAAUAUUUGUGCAAGUUCAGAAAAGGAGACAGUAUGGGAAAAGGGAAAAAUUGCUGCAUUUCAUGUAGGGAUGGGUUAAGACUUUUUGAACUGUAACAUGAAAUAGUGGUUAUUGGAUGUUGGAAGAGAGCAGGCUUGCUGCUCCCAUUUUCUGCAAGUGCAGGUUGCUUUGAAUGUUAAGAAAUUAAGGCAUGAACUUGUGGAAGAAAGCAGGGUAUUUAGUGCUGAACUUUGUGUGCUGUUUUGCGGUAGUGUCUGUCAAAGCCCCACAAGUUGUCACUGGAGUCAGAGUUAGAUUCCUAAUAGAAGUUUCAUUUUUCAUUUCUGUGGACAGGAUUGAAGUGAAAGAUACUUGGGAUACUUUGUUGUUGUUCUUGCUUGAACCCUUUCAGGUAAAUGGAAGCAUCAGUAAGUUGUGAACUUAAUACUCAUAAAAAUUGAACACUGGUUGAAAUUUUCCAAACCAUUAAUAUUUUCUCUACAGUAGAUUGUAGAGCCAUGUUGUUUAGAAGACAGUCUAUGUGACUGGUGAUUGUACAAGGAACAGAAUAAACUUGCAAAGAAAAAAACACGUAGACUUUACUGUCUCUUUCCUGUGGCUCUGACAAGUUCAUAACAGUAUUCUGAAGUAUGUUUUGGUUUGCUAUUAAAAGUACUGUUGUCAUUCCUACUCAGUUGCAAAUGUUAAAUAUCAUUCACUUCCACAAGCUGGAGAUUGAGCUGUUGUAAGAAAUGCAGUCAAUUAAAUUCAAGCCAUUAACUAGCCAUAGCAACUGGGUUAGUUUUGCAGUUUAUUAGACUAACUCAGCUGCAUUGCUUCACUGUGGCUGAUGAAAGAGUGAAAAUAAUGUGGAAAGAAGAGGCCAAUUCUUGAAUAGGUAUGUUUCCAUUUUUGUGCUGUUAUUUUCCUCUGCGGAUUAAUGAGGCAAAUUAAUCUUUACUCUUGGGACUGUCUGCGGUGAAAAGUAAAUAUAUCAUUUUAUCAGGGUUUAUAGUAUCACUUGUCAAUUAUUUUUUAUUUUCUUUCACAUGCAGGAUAGUGUUGAAGGUUCAGUUUCUGUUACAAAGCAGAGAACAGGAUCCAUUGGAGAUCGCCCAGCAAGACCUACUCUUUUAGAACAAGUACUGAAUAAAAAGAGGCUGUCCCUACUCAGAAGUCCAGAAGUAGUGCAGUUCCUACAGAAACAACAGCAACUGUUAAGUCAGCAGGCUUUGGAACAAAGGCAGCAACAGUUUCAAGGAGCACCUGGGUAACCAGAACAGAUCAGUGACCUGCAUAUAAGUCUGGUGCUGAAGGAGGAAUAGGAUGUGUAUUUUAUAUAAAUACAAAGAGUCUCGAUGUUUAAAGGAAAACUAAAGUUGCUGCUGUUACGUAUUUUACUUGUUUGCACUUUUGAGGUUUUGAGCUGCUUGGGUGUCUGCAAACUUGUGAGCAAAUAUGGAGGAGUCUGUUUUUUGAUUCUUUUUAACACUUCAUUUAUACGUUUAAUUUUUUUAAUAGAUAUUUGUUUAUAUUAGUAACGUUCAGCUGUACACCCUUUUCCUACCAAAGUCUUCCACUAAAUGUUUUUCUAUAUAAGGAUUUACUGUUAAACAAGUCACUCUUUGAUGACAAUCAUUGAAGUCAGUUACUUUCUAUGGAAGUUUUGAAAUAAAGUCCUGAAUUUGAGCCAGUCCAGUGGCAUGACCUAACAGGAAUUUCUCAGGGAUAUGAGAAACUUAUGUCCAGUAGAAUCUUGCACUAAAGGCAAAGAUAAUGUGCCAUCAAGAAGUUGAUCCAGUGGCCCAGAAAAGUGCAAAUCAGGUGAUCCUCCUGCUAUAUAUUCAUUAUCUGCAAGUUCAGUAGGUUUGAAAUGCUUCAUUAUGUGUGCAAAGCAUUUAAAAGUUUCAGAAGAGAGAAAUGGCAAAAAGCUUUAGAGAAGGAUUGGGUGAAAUGUAUGCAACUGAGAGUUGUACCUUGUUUUGUGGAGUUAUUUGUAAGGACCAACCUCUUAUACAUUAAAUAUAACUUAGUUACAGAUGACAGUAUCACUCAUUUUUAAGUGACCACAUUAAAAUUUAAAGCUUUUAACUUGUAUUAGCAAAUGCAUCCAAAACCUAAAAUGUAAUUGUGCAUUUUUUCCUUUAUGUAGUCUUUUUCUUCUAAAAAAAGUAUAAUUAAAAUUCUUCUAUUAAGAGAACUGAUAUCAACUCUAGUGCUAGACUUCUCAGGUUUUCAGCCAAUUCAGAUGAAUUUGCAGUUGAUUGGGUUAAGAAUCCAAACACUGUGUUAUGUAAGUGUUGAAUCCCAUGUUUUGUUUUUAAAACAAAGUUUUGUAUUAAAACGCAUUUCUGAACAGAGAUUAUCUGAAUGAUGUAGGUGCUCAUUAAAGUACUACUUAAUACUGCGACAGUUCGAUCUGCUAAAUAAUCUCUCUUCAGGAGUAUUUGUUAGUCUUGCGAAUUUUUACAAGCUGUGCUUUGUGUAUGUAUAGAACUUGGUCAGUAGGGAUUGAUUGUAUUUAGCAUUGUACAAGUUGUUCUUUAAAAAAGAAAAUGAAAAACUUUGUAUCAGCAGUUCUGGACCAAUAAGAGUUUGAGUAAAAUCUUUGUUUCUCUUUUAAAAAAACAAACCCAAAGCCUGUCCUCCUUUGUUCUGUUAAAUUUGUAUGUUGGGGUUUUUUCUAUACUAAGAUGGCUAGCUCUGGCUAGGUGGCAUUUAAAACUCUUAUGUUCCAAGGCUCUUGUCAUAGGUGGUUAUUUUAGCUUUAAGUAAAAUCAGGUUACUGUUUUCAGUGUGUCAGAAUAUUUGUGAAAACAUAAUGGGCUGAAAUUGUAAAACAGGGUAUUUGAUUUUGGUUUAAAUGGUCAUCUUACAAAAAAGCACUGAGGUGAGCAGAUCUGAUUAAGCUUUUCUAAAAAACAGACCAACCCUCAUGGUAGAAAAGGGACACAGGGUAUGUGUGAUAACAGUGCUGAACGAGUUGGUUACCUCAAAACAAAUGAAACUUGCUGAAGUUGUGCAUAGAGAUGUUCAGCACGGUGCAGCUCACCUAUCCUGUAUUUCUGGUGGUCUGUGAUGGCAGUGCCUUACAGGCUGGUGCAGAUGGCAGGAGAUGUGCUGGCAACAGGGCUGCCCCGUUCAGGCAGGGUGGGUGUUGGGUGGGAUUCCCAAACCAUGUGUGAACACAGCAGUGUCUGUGUUCCUCCAAGACCAUUAUGUCAUCUUCUCUCUUGCUUCUGUUGUUGCAGAACAAAAUCUGAACUUUAGGAACGUUUAAAACCUGACUCAGUAACAGUAACAGUACAUUCUUACUAUAUCUCUUUUUCCUUGAGCAGUUUAAGACCCUCAUAGCAGCAAGUCUGUCUGCUCGCUAAUGUGUUGGUCUGGUCCACAGCUAGGGCUUCUGUCAUAGGGCAGCAUCACUGCUCAUUAACUGCCUGUCGGAUCAGGGCUGCCUCCUUCAAAAGCUGAACUGUCCUCUUCAUCUUCAAAUCUACCACAGGACAGUGAGGGAUGCAUGUACUUUGUAACAUGCAGAUUUUAUGCUGUAUUCAUUUGCAACCCAUUUUAUAGUGUCCAACAUCCCAUUCUGCUGGGAGGGUUGCUUCAUCCCAUUACUCUGAACGCACCAAUUCCUCUUGCCUAAGUGACAUAUGAAUAAAGGCUUUCUAAAUGCUGUGGUUACCAAAGCCACUGGUGAUCAGACUGGGACCUACCGCUUUCCAGGGCCAGUCUCUUUCAAGGAGAAAAAGAGGAGACAACAAGGGAAAGAGCUCUUUAAUCAGAAAUAUCUUUAUUAACAGUAAAACACAAGACGUGAAUAAUCCCUUUUACAACAGAAUAAUUCCAGCCAAAGAAAAUGGAGUGUGUUAAAAAGUGUAUUGUUCAAACAUCAGGCUAAAUAUGUUGACUUCAGAAUGCCUCAAAUGCAGCAGGAGGAAUGCUUGUGAAAAUGUCCACUUGAUUAGCAAUUGUUUUAUCUUUCUUGACAUGACAGGGCAUGGGGCAGAGUACUCUGGGGCUUAUUGGAGGACUCUGAGCUGCCCUCAUCUCUCAGUCUCCUGAAACUAAGUAUGUUUGAGAUUUUUCAUUCUCAAGAGUCCAAGUAGCGUUCUUUAUACAGCAAUCUACACUGUUUUAAAGAUGAUCACUAGCUGUGAAUAAUACUUCAUUCUGGAUGGUGCAAAUGUUUUGCUUUGAUUCCGAUGGAAAAGCAAGGGCGGAAUUGUUCAUAGACACUGUUAAAUCUAUGUAUGAUUCAUGGUGCUUUUUGGCACAAGACUGGUAGCUUGUACUUGACACAAAAAAACCCGCACCUUGCUUGAAUCUGCCCUUUUCACCCCUGGACUGCAUAGAACUUUACAACCUUAUGGCUUCAUUGACCCCCACAAUAAGGGCUUGUUCCUUCACCUUGUCACACUUCUCAGCCCCAUUUACAUCACAGAGGUGAUACUGAAAUGAGGGAUUAAAUUGCUAACACUGAUUUAUCUGCAGAAAGUAUGCUGUGGUACAUUUAACUUAGUAUUAUAAAUAAUUCAGAACUCCAAUUGCUUGAGUAAGUGAAGAAAAUUUAUAUGAAUGUGCAUUAUCUCUGCUCAUCAUUUCAUUUGUUCUCUUGCUCUUGUUUGCAAAGCUUCUCAUGGACAUAAUUGAAUUAAUAGGAUUUAACACACACUUUAGCAUCAAAAAAUCACUUUGAAACAUGAUGUGCUUGCUACCGUGAAAGUGCAAGGGGUCAGACUUUACCAAGUUUUUUGUAGCUUUUCUUUGCUGAUGAGGUCUGUAUUUAAAAUUAUUAACUGGUUGAUCUAUUCCUAUGCUAUUCAUAUGCAAUAUUAUUUGAGUACUAACACAGAAUAUAAAAUAGCAGCAUCCAUGGAGAAUAAAACCACUAUGACUGAAGAUUUAAAAACUGUUCACAAUUGGCUGCAAAUGUUCACAUUGGCUAUAAUGGAAGAGUAGCCGACUCUGGAGGACAUAGUGGUUACAGACAUGGCCUGCACAUUAGAUUCAUUAUCUGUACAGGCACCAGGUUUGCAAGCAUGGCCCAAUUGCAAGUGGAGGCAUCUUCCUGAUGGGCCUCAUAUGCCUCACCUCCCUGGCAGGAAAGUGUGGCAUCAAUAUGGCAAUAUAAUGUAAGGCACACCUGGACAAGCUAUUGGGAAGCCCUGGGGUGAACAGGUAACAGGAUUCUGGCUGCUCCUGGCCACUCCGGAGCUUCCUAUGAGUAGAUGAUCGGUACAAACCAAAGGCUGUGUUUUGUGCUGGUGCACAACAUGCAAAAGUGUCCGUCUGCAGUAGAGACAGAAAGGGAUUUCUCUCUGCUGAGCACAGACUAAAUGCCCUCCCAGGCUUUUUGUACUCCCAGAGCUGCCAUUAGGAAGAAGCCCUGUUUCAGUGGCUGCGAUGAAGCCUCCAGGUUGAGAAGCUUUUUAUUCACAGAUCUAAAGUCUCACAUAAUCUCUCCCGGCUGCAAGAUGGGACCAACUCUAUCAGGCUCUUUUUUGAUGGUGACCCGACCUCUUACUUGCUCUCAGGGAAGCACACUUGUCUAUUCUUAGUUCCUGCUAUAAAUGUGAUUUCAUAGGAGUCCCUGUGAAGGCUCCUGCUGAUUCCAUCUUCCUUUGGGCACUACAAUUUCCUACCUAAACAUGAAGCAAGUUGCUUUAUUGCAAUUCCCAGGUAGAUUAUAUAUCCAUGUCUUUCGUUCAUGCAGUUUCUGUUUCAGACUGCAGUUUUCUUUGAGAAGCACACAGUUGGAUGUGCUUGUAGUGUCCUUGAAUGGUUGCCCAAAACUGAACUCCCCAUUAGUCCUUCAGUGAGGCAAAGGGUAAUCUUGCAAGUGCAGUUCCAAGAUGCAACCAGAGCCUACUCCUGGAUCACAUGGAACACCACUUUUCCCUAACAUAUCUCAUGGCUUAACCAGGAGGCUGGCACACUCAGCCAGGCUGUGUGUAUAGGAAGCACCAGAUUAAGGAUUGUGGUACUCCAAGCUGCUCCUAAAACAGGUUUCGAUGUUUAGUUCAGACAUGAAUGUAAAAAGCUUCAGUGAACACCAUGGCUGCCCAAGCACAUGCUGCCUUGAUACCUCCAGUGAUGACCACUGACCAUAUCUGGUCAUAUGCUUCCCAGUUCCUUCAUUCUCUAAGUGCAUCUCUGGCUACUGUAACCAACCAUGAACUAGAAGUCCUCUAUAAAAAAUACUUCUCAGCCACUUCAGUGGGGUUUUCACUCACCCAGAAAGGCUUGGGUUCAGAUGUUCGAGUAACGGCCUACUACUCUCCGGGCUUCUCCAGAGCAAGGAACUAUUGCCUUUGACUUAGAGAGCAUGUGGGACAAGUUAUGGUUGGUGCAUUUCUGAUGAUAUAUAAAUCUAUAUUCUCAACUUUUUAAAAUGGUAUUUAAUGACACUAUGACUCAUUAAUUUUUCUUUGUUUGGUUUUGGUCUUAGUAAAUUAGAUUAUGGGGAGCUGGGGGGAAAGGUGAAUAGUACAGAGGGCGUAAUGUUUCUUUCUUGUGCUGAGCACCAUGUAGUGCUCAAAUAUUCCUGAAAGCUAUAGCUGCACCAGAGAAGACUCUGCUGAGCCAGGAAAACUGGCUUUAUAUUUGAGACCCUUUCAAAGUUACUAAAUUCAAUCAAGCUUGUUUCCAUCCAGCCAGGAAGCAAACAGGCUCUGCCUGAGCUGCCUCUGUAAAUCCAGCUGUUCAUGCAACUCCUCAGUUGCUAGUGAGACUUUCUGGUUCUUGGAGGUUAUAGGCAAAGGUGAGUGUUGUAAGCCAGGAAGAACAAGGGCAAAUUAGCUAUAGUUACAAUCACAAAUGCUUGAUUUUUUCCAUUUUAAGAGCUGUGUGGUAGAGAUGAUGUUUACAGUGAGAAAUGUUUGCAGUGUUUAUUUUAUGCUGAGGGAACAUUAAUAUCUUCUAACUCUGUCCUGCACUGAACUCAUGCAGAAAUUGCUAAGGAUAAACAUAUUUCACCCUGAAACUGUCUCUGCAAACAGAGAGCUCUGGCCUGUGGCAACCAGUUAUCACGGAAUCUCUGUACAGACCCACAGAACAAUGUAAAUUGUAAGGGAUCUGUGCAGGGCAUCAAGUCUGACACCCUGCUCAAGGCAGGGACCACUUGAAGAAGGCUGCUCAGAGCAGUAAAAGUCCUGACACAGUACUUGGUGAAGAAAUGUAAGGAAUUUCCUUGACUCCAGUUGAUGUUACCUGGGGCCACAGUUCCCCUUCGUGUUGCUGAUACAUUAUCCUUCAGACUAAGCAUGGCAAAACAUGAAACUCAUAAGGUGUAAAAAGAUGCUUGUGGCAUAGCCUCUGGUGGGGAGGCAAAGCACAUGCUACACUGCUGAACUACAGCCACUGCUAUACCAUACCUGACCAGCUGUUACAGUGCAAGGUUAUGGGAGUGAGAUAUCAGAGCAGCAGUGCCACUGCAUGCCGCCAUGCAGUCAGUGUGCUCGAUUUGCUUCUGUCACCUCUGCAUGAAAAUGGCACUUUCAUACUGGUGCUGCUGAAGAACUGGCAGCAAUUAAGCAGUCAUCUUCUCUUGACCACUUAACAGGAAAACAAGUGGUCCAUGUACCAUGAUGAAUGUGCUUUAUGCCUCUACCUGAUCAAACUCCCAUUGCUGCCUGCUGAUGCAUGGUACUUCUCCACAGAAACUUUCAAGAAGGUUUGAACUGUUGAUGACUCAAAAAACAUUUUUUAAAAUCUGCCUUUGACCAAGUAGUCUCCCUGUAAGUGGUUUUAAAUCUCUCAGGAAGCCCAUCUUCAAAGCUUGAGUAUUAAUGAGUACAUUUAAAGGCUUUAAAUCGACUACGGGUUGAUAGGUUCAUGAAGACCUUUCAACAGAAAAUAUCUCCUUACAAAAUGGGGAUACAUUAGAGUGAGAUACAAAGUUACACUGCUGUAAAUGAUGAGAAACCUGAAUUUUUAACUGAGCUCAAUUCACAUGUAGUAGAGAAGUCUGUAAGGGACUUUGUUCAGAAAGAAAGGGAAAUAAAGGGUUUAGUUUUUAUCACUGCAUCUGGGCAGGGGUCAUCUUCCUCUUUACUUGUUUGCCUCAUCUACUGUUACCACUUGUCCCUUGUGAUGUGAGCUCUCCCAGUCUCUCAGGAAGGAGCUGUCAGCUGCUUUGUGUUUGCACAGCAUCUCAUACAGAGGAGCAGGCCCGUACAGGCCACCAAAAUAGGUAAUAGUUCACACAGUGAUACCAGCCUUCCCAAAGGCUAACAGCUCUGAGAUGGCUGUUUGGCUUUGAUUGUCCUGAAUCAGGUGCUUCAGUCCAACUUUCAGCAGAUAAAUUUGCUGAAAUUCACCUCAUCCUAAUGCAGACAGUGUAAAGAGGUCAGAAGAAUCAUGCUCCAGAAAUGUCUAACUUACUAGUAAGGGAGUAUUAAGGUGACUACCUUUAAUGAGAUGCAUGUGUGGACUGCACUGAAGCCAAAUCCUAUUUGUAUGAGGAUUACUAUAGAAGUAGACAUACAGGAAAGGACAAACUGCUCUGAAUUUCCCAACUUCCAUUUAAACAACAGACACUUACUAAGCAAGCAUCAUUACUAGUCUGGGAAAGCCACCACAUCUUCCCUAUGGCCCACCUCACCAACUUUUGGAUAUGUCCAAUGUAACAGUCCACAUUUGAGCUAGUGACCCUUAGUUCUCCUUAUACUCAAUGGAAGACGUAAGCAUGUUCAGAGCAGAGUGUAUUUUAUCUACUUGAAAUACCUGCCUUAUGAUGAAACAAAUGAUGCCCCAGAGGAACCUGCUUCUCUUCAUUGGCCAUUCAGUUUUCCUCUGCAGCAUUGGCAGGAAAGUGGGUUCUGGGGCUGUCCAAGAGAAGAUGCACCUCACAACAUCCCCGUAUGCUCUCUGUGAGCAAGAUGACAAUGCUGAGAAUGUCUAAAAGCAACCCGUAGGCUUCUCUCUAUAUUAGGAGGGAAGGAGGUUUCAGCCUAAAAGGCAAGGAAGAAUCUAGGAUAAAAGACAGCUAGAUCCUGGACAGGAGAGGUGAUUUUCUCUGUCCUUCGCUGCUAAGAAAGCAAAGGAAUGAGCAAAGGAAUGAAAAGCACAGAGAAAUAACCGGAGAAAGGGUGCAAUAAACAUGCUAAAACCCAUGUUACCAGUACCUCGGUACAGUGACACCAGUAACAGAGGGAGCUGAUUUUCCAAACCAAUCUUUCUUUUGUCUGCUAAACAGUAAAUGGCACACCUGGAAUUUCUGUGUCACAUUAUUAUUGCUGCAGGAGACUGUAAAGCUUUUCCUAUCCCACAGUGACACUGCUGACAUCAAAUGGUGACAGAAUAGGGUUCUUUGCAUUUACAGAUUUCCUAUACAACUUGCUAUUACUGCUCAAACUUAUCAGUAAUUUAUCCUUGUGUGCCCUAAAAAUUCUGCGGGCAGCUGAAGAUGUAUUCAAAUGAAGUAACCCUGCUAGUUUACUGAUUCUUCUGCUCUGUUCAUAAUUACCACCCCAUAACAGGUAUUACAUAGCAUCUAAAACACAUGGAAAGUUUUUCUGGUGAAUGUUAUUUCCUUUGUGUAUGUGAUGUAGCUGAAGAUUUCAGGCAUCCUCUUCCAAUUAUGCAGUAAAAUGUGUGUCACCAGAUAUUGUGUGAGAAGAAAAGAAACAUUCUGUAAAACUUUUUUUUUUUUUUUCUUAGGAUACUUCUGGUAUGUUCUAAGGAGGAAUGAGAUUGGAGAAGCUAUCACUCUUUCUGACCCUUAAAGCAAAACAAUUUUCAGUGGACUGUUAUGUCUGGAAAGAAACAAUCCUCUACCCUUUCAACAAGGAGCUUGUUGCUUUUCAGUGCAGCAGUACUGUACACUACUUUGUUAACAGUAUCAGACUACUCAGAUGUGUCCAGAAUGCUCUGACAAGGCUCCAGUGCUGAACGCGUCCUGAGGGCUCUCUCCUCCUGCCAAAUCCUAGGGGAGACAGGGAUGCCUCAGCUCCACAGAUGACCUGUUGUCCCAUCGUGCUUUGCAGUAGGGAAACAGACUGGAAUUGCAGUUUAGUCCUUCAGUUCACUGGAUAAAAGUCAUCUCUACGCAAAAGUCCUGUGCACCACCUAAGGUCCUCUUUUAGACCUGAAAUUAGGAUGUGAAAUGGAUAUAAAUGGUGUAGAGAUCUGACUUUGGAUGCCUGCAGAGGGGUGAAUUUCACCUACUAGGAACAGCUACAGCCAGGUUUCUAAAUCCAUGCGAAAGUGCUGAGAAUUCGCACCGUUUACUGGCUUGGCUGGGGAAUGAAGAUGCUCACAGGAAAUGUUUGACACUUUUGCAGGAAUUUGGCUUAUUUUGUACUAGAGAACAGAUAGGCUAUACCUGAAUUUCUAAACUUAUUGUACUGGCAUCAGAAUAACUAGAAACCACAAAAUGUAGCAUGAAAAAAAAG
Long non-coding RNA from Athene cunicularia (burrowing owl), 11466 nucleotides. RefSeq lists it as uncharacterized. Lineage: Eukaryota; Metazoa; Chordata; Aves; Strigiformes; Strigidae. The record is from RefSeq and is a predicted model, not a curated record. The transcript has 3 exons.